CUGGGUCGUGGAUUUGAUACCCUGCUCCCCCAACCUUUGAAAACUCGGGAAAAUACGAGUGUUAAUGGGGAGAAAGCAGGAACUCAGGAUGCCACCACCACAGCUCCUCCCACGCACAAACUCGGGAGUCGGACUUAACGACUGUCCCCUUACGACCCUCGCCGUGGCCGCACCAUCUGUGAAGCAGCGGGGCUGCAGGCUUAGAGCUGCCAGCGCAGCUUCUAGGCUGGGCCGAAUUGGACGCGAAGGGACUGGACAGGACGCCCGGGGUCUGGGCCCGCUGCCAGCCAGAUAAGAUGCAGGUUUCCUGGGUCUCCCUGAGUCCUGUCUACGCCUGGUGCAGACCACAGCGCCACAGAGGCUACGCCAGGGCCGCCAGGAACCGCUCACGGUAGGGGAGCAACGAAGUGGACUAGAGCGUGGCCUGAAGGUGAAGGGACAUCACAACGCCAGAACGGGCCGUCACCCCACCCCUCUGCCCCAGAGAGGCCUCUGAUUGGACAGUUUAUAAGUCCCUGCCCCCACGCGCCUGAGUGACAACCACGGGGAGGACCUGUGGCUUUGCUGUACCAGCUCUGUCGGAGGCCCAGAAUCUGUCUCUUCCCUCCCUCCCCAUCCUGCACCCCACCGACAGCUUUUAAACAGAACUUGUUCCUGGCCUGAGGCUUAUUCCUUUGUCUUUUCCACAGUUCGUCGGAAGGCGUGGUCAGAGUUGCUAGCAGAAUCCCUGAUUCAGUUUCAAGAUGAUUCAGUUUCAGCAAGUACACUCGAGGGUGGGGCAGGUCAGGCCACCCUGGAAUGAGAGGGUGUGAUACCUUGUAGAGGGUCCAGGAUUCGGCGUAAGGCUGCGAUCUCACUCAUAGAACUGUGACCCUUGUUUAGAAACAUAGACAAUCUGACCUCACCGUUUGUAACAGAGUCUGGCUCCAAUUUAGUCUUGAUCCUUCCAAGCCUUGAACUUCCCACCCAUCCCUUUCCCAGACCUUCUCAUCUGGCUCUUAAGAGAAAGAAUCCUAGAGCUCUAGGCUCUGGAGCGAAGCUGGAACCCCGCCGGGCACAGGGACUCUUCUCAACCUAAUCACAAGGUGUGAGAUGUGUUCAUUACAUUCUCAGGUGUAUGUUGGACACUAAAAAAAAUUAAUUUUAGGUCAGUUUUUCCUUGUGACCCUAGAAAACUUAAAAAUGUAAGUAGAUUUAAUAUCUCUAACAUUUAAUUCCUAUUUUUAUUGCUAUAAGCAAAACUAUUAUAAAUCAUCAUGUAAUUUUGGGAUGCACUCGGGAACUUUCCCAGUUUUACUGAGGUAUAAGUAACUAGUAAAAGUAUAUUUAAAGAU
Molecule: long non-coding RNA, 1334 nt
Organism: Phyllostomus discolor (pale spear-nosed bat)
Lineage: Eukaryota; Metazoa; Chordata; Mammalia; Chiroptera; Phyllostomidae
Exons: 2
Source: RefSeq, a predicted model, not a curated record